GCAACCAUAGUGUAGGGGUUAUCAUCCCAGCCUUCCAAGCUGGGGACUCGGGUUCGAGUCCCGAUGGUUGCA
Colletotrichum tofieldiae is the source of this 72-nucleotide non-coding RNA. The record is from the annotation of a GenBank genome assembly. NCBI's taxonomy places the organism in Eukaryota, Fungi, Ascomycota, Sordariomycetes, Glomerellales, Glomerellaceae.